This 420-nucleotide ribosomal RNA is filed under the name uncultured bacterium. RNAcentral's name for it is "bacterial SSU rRNA". It matches the Rfam family "Bacterial small subunit ribosomal RNA", at positions 11 to 416 of the family's 1533-position model. The record is from RNAcentral.
GUUUGAUCCUGGCUCAGAGCGAACGUUAGCGGCAGGCUUAACACAUGCAAGUCGAGCGAGAAAGGGGCUUCGGCUCCGAGUAAAGCGGCGGACGGGUGCGUAACACGUGGAUAAUCUGCCUCGUGGCGGGGGACAACAGUCCGAAAGGACUGCUAAUACCGCAUGUCAGGUCGGAAACUCCGGUUUCUGACGAAAAAGAGGGCACCCGCAAGGGGCUCUCACCACGAGAUGAGUCCGCGUCCCAUCAGCUAGUUGGCGGUGUAAUAGACCACCAAGGCUUAGACGGGUAGCUGGUCUGAGAGGAUGACCAGCCACACUGGGACUGAGACACGGCCCAGACUCCUACGGGAGGCAGCAGUGGGGAAUAUUGGACAAUGGGCGAAAGCCUGAUCCAGCCAUGCCGCGUGAGUGAUGAAGGCC